Molecule: ribosomal RNA, 497 nt
Filed under: uncultured bacterium
Lineage: Bacteria
Description: partial 16S ribosomal RNA
Rfam family: Bacterial small subunit ribosomal RNA
Source: RNAcentral
GAUGAACGCUGGCGGCGUGCCUAAUACAUGCAAGUCGAGCGAACGGACGAGAAGCUUGCUUUUCUGAUGUUAGCGGCGGACGGGUGAGUAACACGUGGAUAACCUACCUAUAAGACUGGGAUAACUUCGGGAAACCGGAGCUAAUACCGGAUAAUAUUUUGAACCGCAUGGUUCAAAAGUGAAAGACGGUCUUGCUGUCACUUAUAGAUGGAUCCGCGCUGCAUUAGCUAGUUGGUAAGGUAACGGCUUACCAAGGCAACGAUGCAUAGCCGACCUGAGAGGGAGAUCGGCCACACGGGAACUGAGAAACGUCCCAGACUCUGACGGUGGGAAGCAGUAGGGAAUCUUACGCAAGGGGCGAAAGCCUGACGGAGCAACGCGGCGUGAGUGAUGAAGGUCUUCGGAUCGUAAAACUCUGUUAUUAGGGAAGAACAUAUGUGUAAGUAACUGUGCACAUCUUGACGGUACCUAAUCAGAAAGCCACGGCUAACUACGUG